RNAcentral lists this ribosomal RNA (1392 nucleotides) under uncultured bacterium. RNAcentral describes it as "bacterial SSU rRNA". It matches the Rfam family "Bacterial small subunit ribosomal RNA". The record is from RNAcentral.
AGAGUUUGAUCCUGGCUCAGGAUGAACGCUGGCGGCGUGCCUAACACAUGCAAGUCGAGCGGUAUAUACCUUAUCAAAUCUUCGGAAGAGAGACGGUAUAGAGAGCGGCGGACGGGUGAGUAACGCGUAGGCAACCUGCCCCAUACAGAGGGAUAGCCUCGGGAAACCGGGAUUAAAACCUCAUAACACGAGAAGUUCACAUGGACUUUUCGCCAAAGAUUUAUCGGUAUGGGAUGGGCCUGCGUCUGAUUAGCUAGUUGGUAAGGUAACGGCUUACCAAGGCAACGAUCAGUAGCCGACCUGAGAGGGUAAUCGGCCACAUUGGAACUGAGACACGGUCCAAACUCCUACGGGAGGCAGCAGUGGGGAAUAUUGCACAAUGGGCGAAAGCCUGAUGCAGCAACGCCGCGUGAGCGAUGAAGGCCUUUGGGUCGUAAAGCUCUGUCCUUGGGGAAGAAAAAAAUGACGGUACCCUUGGAGGAAGCCCCGGCUAACUACGUGCCAGCAGCCGCGGUAAUACGUAGGGGGCAAGCGUUAUCCGGAAUUAUUGGGCGUAAAGAGUGCGUAGGUGGUUUUGUAAGCGCGAGGUGAAAGGCUAUGGCUCAACCAUAGUAAGCCUUGCGAACUGCAAGACUUGAGUGCAGGAGAGGAAAGUGGAAUUCCUAGUGUAGCGGUGAAAUGCGUAGAUAUUAGGAGGAACACCAGUGGCGAAGGCGACUUUCUGGACUGUAACUGACACUGAGGCACGAAAGCGUGGGGAGCAAACAGGAUUAGAUACCCUGGUAGUCCACGCCGUAAACGAUGAGCACUAGGUGUCGGGGUCGCAAGGCUUCGGUGCCGCAGUUAACGCAUUAAGUGCUCCGCCUGGGGAGUACGCACGCAAGUGUGAAACUCAAAGGAAUUGACGGGGACCCGCACAAGCAGCGGAGCAUGUGGUUUAAUUCGAAGCAACGCGAAGAACCUUACCAGGACUUGACAUCCCUCUGACCGGCGCUGCCGAGUCUUCCCUUCGGGGCAGAGAUGACAGGUGGUGCAUGGUUGUCGUCAGCUCGUGUCGUGAGAUGUUGGGUUAAGUCCCGCGACGAGCGCAACCCUUGUCCUUAGUUGCCAUCAUUUAGUUGGGCACUCUAAGGAGACUGCCGUGGAUAACACGGAGGAAGGUGGGGACGACGUCAAAUCAUCAUGCCCCUUAUGACCUGGGCUACACACGUGCUACAAUGGCCGGUACAAAGGGCAGCAAAGCCGCGAGGUGGAGCCAAUCCCAAAAACCAUUCUCAGUUCGGAUUGCAGGCUGCAACUCGCCUGCAUGAAGUUGGAGUUGCUAGUAAUCGCAGAUCAGAAUGCUGCGGUGAAUGCGUUCCCGGGUCUUGUACACACCGCCCGUCACACCAU